UACGAAGGGGGCUAGCGUUGCUCGGAAUCACUGGGCGUAAAGGGUGCGUAGGCGGGUUUUUAAGUCAGAGGUGAAAUCCUGGAGCUCAACUCCAGAACUGCCUUUGAUACUGAGAAUCUUGAGUAUGGGAGAGGUGAGUGGAACUGCGAGUGUAGAGGUGAAAUUCGUAGAUAUUCGCAAGAACACCAGUGGCGAAGGCGGCUCACUGGCCCGGUACUGACGCUGAGGUGCGAAAGCCAGGGGAGCGAACGGG
RNAcentral lists this ribosomal RNA (253 nucleotides) under uncultured bacterium. RNAcentral's name for it is "partial 16S ribosomal RNA". It matches the Rfam family "Bacterial small subunit ribosomal RNA", at positions 524 to 776 of the family's 1533-position model. The record is from RNAcentral.